RNAcentral lists this transfer RNA (64 nucleotides) under Asbolus verrucosus. RNAcentral's name for it is "tRNA-Glu". Lineage: Eukaryota; Metazoa; Arthropoda; Insecta; Coleoptera; Tenebrionidae. The record is from RNAcentral.
AUUUUCAUAGUUUAAUAAAAAACAUUAUAUUUUCAAUAUAAAAAUAAGAUAACCUUUGUAAAUA